This 465-nucleotide ribosomal RNA is filed under the name uncultured bacterium. RNAcentral describes it as "partial 16S ribosomal RNA". It matches the Rfam family "Bacterial small subunit ribosomal RNA", at positions 338 to 795 of the family's 1533-position model. The record is from RNAcentral.
CCUACGGGUGGCAGCAGUAGGGAAUCUUCCACAAUGGGCGAAAGCCUGAUGGAGCAACGCCGCGUGGGUGAAGAAGGUCUUCGGAUCGUAAAACCCUGUUGUUAGAGAAGAAAGUGCGUGAGAGUAACUGUUCACGUUUCGACGGUAUAUAACCAGAAAGCCACGGCUAACUACGUGCCAGCACCCGCGGUCAUACGGAGGUGGCAAGCGUUAUCCGGAUUUAUUGGGCGUAAUGGGAACGCAGGCGGGCAUUUAAGUCUGAUGUGAAAGCCGUGGGGUUAAACGGAGUAGUGCAUUGGAAACUGGGGGACUUGAGUGCAGAAGAGGAGAGUGGAACUCGAGGUGUAGCGGUGAAAUGCGUAGAUAUAUGGCAGAACACCAGUGGCGAAAGCGGCUCUCUGGUCUGUAACUGACGCUGAGGUUCGAAAGCGUGGGUAGCAAACAGGAUUAGAUACCCCAGUAGUC